This 46-nucleotide non-coding RNA is filed under the name Trichobilharzia regenti. Lineage: Eukaryota; Metazoa; Platyhelminthes; Trematoda; Strigeidida; Schistosomatidae. The record is from RNAcentral.
GUACUCCUGAAGAGUCCCAAACUAGGACUAAACAGCUGUCUAGUAC